CCUACGGGAGGCUGCAGUGGGGGAUAUUGCACAAUGGGGGAAACCCUGAUGCAGCGACGCCGCGUGGGUGAAGAAGCGCCUCGGCGCGUAAAGCCCUGUCAGCAGGGAAGAAAAUGACGGUACCUGAAGAAGAAGCCCCGGCUAACUACGUGCCAGCAGCCGCGGUAAUACGUAGGGGGCAAGCGUUAUCCGGAUUUACUGGGUGUAAAGGGGGCGCAGACGGCGGUGCAAGCCAGGAGUGAAAACCCGGGGCCCAACCCCGGGACUGCUCUUGGAACUGCGUGGCUAGAGUGCAGGAGGGGCAGGCGGAAUUCCUGGUGUAGCGGUGAAAUGCGUAGAUAUCAGGAGGAACACCAGUGGCGAAGGCGGCCUGCUGGACUGCAACUGACGUUGGGGCCCGAAAGCGUGGGGAGCAAACAGGAUUAGAUACCCCAGUAGUC
Molecule: ribosomal RNA, 440 nt
Filed under: uncultured bacterium
Lineage: Bacteria
Description: partial 16S ribosomal RNA
Rfam family: Bacterial small subunit ribosomal RNA
Source: RNAcentral